GACGACGCUGGCGGCGUGCUUAACACAUGCAAGUCGAGCGAUGAAGUUUCUUCGGAAAUGGAUUAGCGGCGAACGGGUGAGGAACACGUGAAGAAUCUGCCUCCACUUUGGGAUAACACCGGGAAACCGGUGCUAAUACCGAAUAUUGAAACAUAAGUGGCAUCACUGAGUUUUGAAAGAAUUUCGGUGGAGGAUGACUUCGCGGCCUAUCAGCUAGUUGGUGAGGUAAUGGCUCACCAAGGCAACGACGGGUAGCCGGCCUGAGAGGGCGACCGGCCACACUGGGACUGAGACACGGCCCAGACUCCUACGGGAGGCAGCAGUGGGGAAUAUUGCACAAUGGGGGAAACCCUGAUGCAGCGACGCCGCGUGGAGGAAGAAGGUCUUCGGAUUGUAAACUCCUGUUGUUGAGGAAGAUAAUGACGGUACUCAACAAGGAAGUGACGGCUAACUACGUG
RNAcentral lists this ribosomal RNA (458 nucleotides) under uncultured bacterium. RNAcentral's name for it is "bacterial SSU rRNA". It matches the Rfam family "Bacterial small subunit ribosomal RNA", at positions 33 to 507 of the family's 1533-position model. The record is from RNAcentral.